RNAcentral lists this ribosomal RNA (636 nucleotides) under uncultured marine bacterium. RNAcentral's name for it is "bacterial SSU rRNA". It matches the Rfam family "Bacterial small subunit ribosomal RNA", at positions 8 to 628 of the family's 1533-position model. The record is from RNAcentral.
AGAGUUUGAUCAUGGCUCAGGACGAACGCUGGCGGCGUGCCUAAUACAUGCAAGUCGAGCGCAUGACGAGGAGCUUGCUCCUCUGAUUGAGCGGCGGACGGGUGAGUAACACGUGGGCAACCUGCCCUGUAGACGGGGAUAACUUCGGGAAACCGGAGCUAAUACCGGAUAAUCCUCUUCCCCACAUGGGGAAGAGUUGAAAGGCGCUUUCGCGUCACUACAGGAUGGGCCCGCGGUGCAUUAGCUAGUUGGUGGGGUAACGGCCUACCAAGGCGACGAUGCAUAGCCGACCUGAGAGGGUGAUCGGCCACAUUGGGACUGAGACACGGCCCAAACUCCUACGGGAGGCAGCAGUAGGGAAUCUUCCACAAUGGACGAAAGUCUGAUGGAGCAACGCCGCGUGAGUGAUGAAGGUUUUCGGAUCGUAAAACUCUGUUGUAAGGGAAGAACCAGUACGUCAGGCAAUGGACGUACCUUGACGGUACCUUAUUAGAAAGCCACGGCUAACUACGUGCCAGCAGCCGCGGUAAUACGUAGGUGGCAAGCGUUGUCCGGAAUUAUUGGGCGUAAAGCGCGCGCAGGUGGUUUCUUAAGUCUGAUGUGAAAGCCCACGGGCUUAACCGUGGAGGGUCAUUG